AGAGGUGUAACUCAGUUGGUAGAGUAACGGUCUCCAAAACCGAAUGUCGUGAGUUCAAAUCUCACCACCUCUG
This 73-nucleotide transfer RNA is filed under the name Candidatus Psyllophila symbiotica. Its description in RNAcentral is "Enterobacteriaceae bacterium Cmel17 tRNA-Trp". It matches the Rfam family "tRNA". From Rfam's summary of the family: Transfer RNA (tRNA) molecules are approximately 80 nucleotides in length. Their secondary structure includes four short double-helical elements and three loops (D, anti-codon, and T loops). Further hydrogen bonds mediate the characteristic L-shaped molecular structure. tRNAs have two regions of fundamental functional importance: the anti-codon, which is responsible for specific mRNA codon recognition, and the 3' end, to which the tRNAs corresponding amino acid is attached (by aminoacyl-tRNA synthetases). tRNAs cope with the degeneracy of the genetic code in two manners: having more than one tRNA (with a specific anti-codon) for a particular amino acid; and 'wobble' base-pairing, i.e. permitting non-standard base-pairing at the 3rd anti-codon position. The record is from RNAcentral. Lineage: Bacteria; Pseudomonadati; Pseudomonadota; Gammaproteobacteria; Enterobacterales; Enterobacteriaceae.